CACAUGCAGUCGAGGGGCAGCGGGGAGUAGCAAUACUUCGCCGGCGACCGGCGCACGGGUGAGUAACACGUGUGCAACCAACCCCGUACCGGGAGAUAACCCGCGGAAACGUGGACUAACAUCCCAUAAGACUCUAGAGCCGCAUGGCUUUGGAUUUAAAAUUCCGGUGGUACGGGACGGGCACGCGCGACAUUAGGUAGUUGGCGGGGUAACGGCCCACCAAGCCGACGAUGUCUAGGGGUUCUGAGAGGAAGGUCCCCCACACUGGAACUGAGACACGGUCCAGACUCCUACGGGAGGCAGCAGUGAGGAAUAUUGGUCAAUGGGCGCGAGCCUGAACCAGCCAAGUCGCGUGAGGGAAGAAUGGUCCAUGGCCUGUAAACCUCUUUUGUCAAGGAAGAAUAAAUUGCACGUGUGCGAUCCUGCCAGUACUUGACGAAUAAGCAUCGGCUAACUCCGUGCCAGCAGCCGCGGUAAUACGGGGGAUGCGAGCGUUAUCCGGAUUUAUUGGGUUUAAAGGGCGCGUAGGCGGGACGCCAAGUCAGCGGUAAAAGACUGCAGCUAAACUGUAGCACGCCGUUGAAACUGGCGCCCUCGAGACGAGACGAGGGAGGCGGAACAAGUGAAGUAGCGGUGAAAUGCUUAGAUAUCACUUGGAACCCCGAUAGCGAAGGCAGCUUCCCAGGCUCGAUCUGACGCUGAUGCGCGAGAGCGUGGGUAGCGAACAGGAUUAGAUACCCUGGUAGUCCACGCCGUAAACGAUGCUCACUGGAUCUUGGCGAUACACUGCCAGGGUUCAAGCGAAAGUAUUAAGUGAGCCACCUGGGGAGUACGUCGGCAACGAUGAAACUCAAAGGAAUUGACGGGGGCCCGCACAAGCGGAGGAACAUGUGGUUUAAUUCGAUGAUACGCGAGGAACCUUACCCGGUUUAAAUG
This 936-nucleotide ribosomal RNA is filed under the name uncultured bacterium. RNAcentral's name for it is "bacterial SSU rRNA". It matches the Rfam family "Bacterial small subunit ribosomal RNA", at positions 52 to 986 of the family's 1533-position model. The record is from RNAcentral.